AUGUGGAGAGCAUGAGCCGGGAAAGGAAAGACCGGUGCAAGCGGGACAGUAGCCAUGCAGGCAAAUCCGUGUGGCAAUGCGAAGACGUGACGCGGACCGAAAUAAAGUAGGGAAGCAUGUGAGCCAUGUGCCAAGAAAAGCCGCUAUAGAUCAUACCGUACCCGUACCGUAAACCAACACAGGUAGAUGAGGAGAGAAUCCUAAGGCCGACGGGAGAAGCAUUGUUAAGGAACUCGGCAAAAUGACCCCGUAACUUCGGGAGAAGGGGUGCCCACGCGAGUGGGCCGCAGAGAAUAGGCUCAAGCAACUGUUUAGCAAAAACACAGGUCUAUGCGAAACCGAAAGGUGAGGUAUAUGGGCUGACGCCUGCCCGGUGCUGGAAGGUUAAGAGGAGGAGUCAGGCAACGAAGCUCCGAAUUUAAGCCCCAGUAAACGGCGGCCGUAACAAUAACGGUCCUAAGGUAGCGAAAUUCCUUGUCGGGUAAGUCCCGACCCGCACGAAAGGCGUAAUGAUUUGAGCACUGUCUCGACAAUGCACCCGGUGAGAUUGAAGUACCAGUGAAGAUGCUGGUUACCUGCGCCAGGACGGAAAGACCCCAUGGAGCUUUACUCCAGUUUGAUACUGGGAUUCGAUACUGAAUGUACAGGAUAGGUGGGAGGCUGAGAGGCGUGGACGCCAGUCUGCGGUGAGCCGCUGUUGGGAUACCACCCUUUGAGUAUUGGAUUUCUAACCUGCGCCCGUGACCCGGGCGGGGGACAAUGUCUGACGGGGAGUUUGACUGGGGCGGUCGCCUCCGAAAGGGUAUCGGAGGCGCUCAAAGGUUCCCUCAGAAUGGUUGGAAACCAUUCGCAGAGUGCAAAGGCAGAAGGGAGCUUGACUGUGACACCGACGGGUGGAGCAGGUACGAAAGUAGGACUUAGUGAUCCGGUGGUAUGAAAGUGGGAUUGCCAUCGCUCAACGGAUAAAAGCUACCCUGGGAUAACAGGCUUAUCACUCCCAAGAGUUCACAUCGACGGAGUGGUUUGGCACCUCGAUGUCGGCUCAUCGCAUCCUGGGGCUGUAGCAGGUCCCAAGGGUUGGGCUGUUCGCCCAUUAAAGCGGUACGCGAGCUGGGUUCAGAACGUCGUGAGACAGUUCGGUCCCUAUCCGGCGCAGGCGUAGGAUAUUUGAGAGGAGCUGUCCUUAGUACGAGAGGACCGGGAUGGACAGACCGCUGGUGUAUCUGUUGGUGACCAACACCAUGGCAGAGUAGCCAAGUCUGGCAGGGAUAAACGCUGAAGGCAUCUAAGCGUGAAGCCCCCCUCAAGAUGAGAUAUCCCAAUAAGUAAGACCCCUUAGAGAGUAUGAGGUAGAUAGGCUUAAGGUGUAAGCAUAGUAAUAUGUUCAGCUGAUAAGUACUAAUAGGUCGAGGGCUUAUCAAA
This 1422-nucleotide ribosomal RNA is filed under the name metagenome. RNAcentral describes it as "bacterial LSU rRNA". It matches the Rfam family "Bacterial large subunit ribosomal RNA", at positions 1476 to 2925 of the family's 2925-position model. The record is from RNAcentral.